This 115-nucleotide ribozyme is filed under the name Aedes aegypti (yellow fever mosquito). RNAcentral's name for it is "drz-agam-1 ribozyme". It matches the Rfam family "drz-agam-1 ribozyme". The record is from Rfam by way of RNAcentral. Lineage: Eukaryota; Metazoa; Arthropoda; Insecta; Diptera; Culicidae.
UGCCCAGCAACUCCUAUCCCGACCUCCUCGCGGUACUGGUCGUUGUCCGAGUAACCUUAGGGAAGAUCGGGUAGCCAACCCCGGUAAACACUGGUCGUAUGCUGACAGGGAUAGG